GAUGAACGCUGGCGGCGUGCCUAAUACAUGCAAGUCGAGCGAACAGACGAGGAGCUUGCUCCUCUGACGUUAGCGGCGGACGGGUGAGUAACACGUGGAUAACCUACCUAUAAGACUGGGAUAACUUCGGGAAACCGGAGCUAAUACCGGAUAAUAUAUUGAACCGCAUGGUUCAAUAGUGAAAGACGGUUUUGCUGUCACUUAUAGAUGGAUCCGCGCCGCAUUAGCUAGUUGGUAAGGUAACGGCUUACCAAGGCAACGAUGCGUAGCCGACCUGAGAGGGUGAUCGGCCGCACUGGAACUGAGACACGGUCCAGACUCCUACGGGAGGCAGCAGUAGGGAAUCUUCCGCAAUGGGCGAAAGCCUGACGGAGCAACGCCGCGUGAGUGAUGAAGGUCUUCGGAUCGUAAAACUCUGUUAUUAGGGAAGAACAAAUGUGUAAGUAACUAUGUACGUCUUGACGGUACCUAAUCAGAAAGCCACGGCUAACUACGUG
Molecule: ribosomal RNA, 497 nt
Filed under: uncultured bacterium
Lineage: Bacteria
Description: partial 16S ribosomal RNA
Rfam family: Bacterial small subunit ribosomal RNA
Source: RNAcentral